UUUUUCAAAAACAUCGCCUCCUGCAACUUUCUAUGUAUAGGAGGUCCAGCCUGCCCAGUGACUACGGGUUCAACGGCCGCGGUAUUUUGACCGUGCAAAGGUAGCGCAAUCACUUGUCUUUUAAAUGAAGACCUGUAUGAAUGGCCAAACGAGGGCUUAGCUGUCUCCCCCUUCUAGUCAGUGAAAUUGAUCUACCCGUGCAGAAGCGGGUGUAAUUAUACAAGACGAGAAGACCCUUUGGAGCUUAAGGUACAAGACUUGACCACGUUAAACAAGUUAAUAAAAAAUAUAAACUUAGUGAAAUGCAAAGUUUUACCUUCGGUUGGGGCGACCACGGAGGAAAGACAAGCCUCCAAGCGGACGGGGCCAACACCCUAAAACUAAGAGGGACACCUCUAAGCCACAGAAUAUCUGACCAAUAAUGAUCCAGCAUAAAGCUGAUCAACGGACCAAGUUACCCUAGGGAUAACAGCGCAAUCCUCUCCCAGAGUUCAUAUCGACGAGAGGGUUUACGACCUCGAUGUUGGAUCAGGACAUCCUAAUGGUGCAGCCGCUAUUAAGGGUUCGUUUGUUCAACGAUUAAAGUCCUACGUGAUCUGA
This 600-nucleotide ribosomal RNA is filed under the name Rhodeus notatus (rosy bitterling). RNAcentral describes it as "partial 16S ribosomal RNA". It matches the Rfam family "Bacterial large subunit ribosomal RNA", at positions 1803 to 2608 of the family's 2925-position model. Lineage: Eukaryota; Metazoa; Chordata; Actinopteri; Cypriniformes; Acheilognathidae. The record is from RNAcentral.